Molecule: long non-coding RNA, 1372 nt
Organism: Oxyura jamaicensis (ruddy duck)
Lineage: Eukaryota; Metazoa; Chordata; Aves; Anseriformes; Anatidae
Exons: 3
Source: RefSeq, a predicted model, not a curated record
AUUGCCUUUCUGCUUGGGCUGUCGGGAUGGUGAGAGCUGCCUUCAUCACGGGGAACCUGGGGCCCCCAUCCCUGGUUGGAGCCAGCCCCUCACAGGGAAAGGGCAGCCCUAUUAUCGGGGCACUGUGGAUGGAUUUACCUUUUCACUCUGAAGUUACAAAGCUGUGGAGACCCCGUGGCCCCUGGCCACGUGCUGCCCUGCCGAGGUGACGGCUAAUUGAGACGUGACAGCCGGCAAAACAAACCCACCAUGCCUCGGUGCGGCUGGCAGAGCUGGGUAAUGCCUGGAGUCUUGCGGCUGUGGGAGGCUCUGUGGAGAUUUGCUUGAACCAGGCCCAAAUUGUUUCAAGACGGAGCUUGAUAAGCCAGUGGAGAGGUCUGCGGGGCGGCAUGGGACACGGGCUCCACGUCACAGGCUCCAGGACGCCUGGAUCAGGUGGACAGUCUGGAAGCAGCGAGGCUUGCUGUGCCAGAAGCAUGCUCUCGCUCACUCCCUCGGUGGAUGCUCUCCCUUUUCGUUUGUGUUGCAAUAGUGUCCAGAUUGGAACCAGGUGAAAAAACGUGCUCACAAAGCUCUCGGUGAAAAAAGAGGCUUGAUUUAAAAAGUGUUUCAUUUUGAAAAGGGGAAGAAAGCCUAAACAAUCAGCGUUGUUAAAAUUUUCCAUCACUAUCUUUUUUUAUGCAAUGCCAUUUCUUUCAGUGCGUACCAAACCCCUAGCUCUCAGCAGCAAUAUGGGGCUCCAGGGAAACAGUUUUCAUUAGGAGAGCAUGGAAAAGCCCCACAGAAAUGGACCAGAGUUUUACAAAAUGGAAACAACACUUCUCAGGGAGUCUUUUUUCCAAGUUUGUAGCCCUUUCUGGUGGGAUUAGAGUGGAUCUGCCUUGUGCUGUUCCCUGCCUGAGUGGAACAUGCAGCAACGGAGUCAUCGUCCCCAAAGAGCCACAACCGAUAGCAUCUGUGCAUGCAAGUCCCCACAUGACAACCCGCUGGCUCUGUCAAUCCCUUCCAGAGCUUUAGACAAGAAUUUGAGCAAUUUUCCUAAGACUGAAAUAUAGAUUUAUACCUUCUGUUGCUAUUAAAUUGUCUCAUGCAUUUUAAAAAAAUAUAUAUAUAUAUAAAUGACAAGAUAAGGAGAGUCAAGUUUUUCUAAAACCUUUCAGUGAUUUGAAAAACUGAAUGAAACUACAACAAACUGAACGUGUUUAGCACCAUCUCAUCUCCUUCUGACAUGUCAGCUGUUGAAAAUAUAGAUGUAAUUAAAAGGAUUUGCAAAGCUGUUCUUAUGCUACAGAGACUUUUAUAUGAUUUUUAUAAUGAACUUUGGUAUUUGUAAUAUUGCACUCCGAAUCCAAAUAAAUGUUUGUGGCUUGUC